Molecule: ribosomal RNA, 491 nt
Filed under: uncultured Rothia sp.
Lineage: Bacteria; Bacillati; Actinomycetota; Actinomycetes; Micrococcales; Micrococcaceae
Description: bacterial SSU rRNA
Rfam family: Bacterial small subunit ribosomal RNA
Source: RNAcentral
AGAGUUUGAUCCUGGCUCAGGACGAACGCUGGCGGCGUGCUUAACACAUGCAAGUCGAACGAUGAAGCCUAGCUUGCUAGGUGGAUUAGUGGCGAACGGGUGAGUAAUACGUGAGUAACCUACCUUUAACUCUGGGAUAAGCCUGGGAAACUGGAUCUAAUACCGGAUACGACCAAUCUCCGCAUGGGGUGUUGGUGGAAAGCGUUAUGUAGUGGUUAUAGAUGGGCUCACGGCCUAUCAGCUUGUUGGUGAGGUAACGGCUCACCAAGGCGACGACGGGUAGCCGGCCUGAGAGGGUGACCGGCCACACUGGGACUGAGACACGGCCCAGACUCCUACGGGAGGCAGCAGUGGGGAAUAUUGCACAAUGGGCGCAAGCCUGAUGCAGCGACGCCGCGUGAGGGAUGACGGCCUUCGGGUUGUAAACCCCUGUUAGCAGGGAAGAAGAGAGAUUGACGGUACCUGCAGAGAAAGCGCCGGCUAACUACGUG